UUGAAUAAACUUGGUUAGGUUGCUGCUGGUCCUUAGGGGCAUGUGCACGCCGACUCCAUUUUUAACCACCUGUGCACCUUGCGUAGAUCUGAUAAUCUCGAGGAAACUCGGUUUGAGAAUUGCUGUGCAAACAGCUCUUCUUGUAAUCAGGUCUAUGUUUCUAUAUACCCCAAAUGAAUGUAUUUUGAAUGUCGUAACUGGCCUUUGUGCCUUUAAAAACAAAUA
This 225-nucleotide unclassified non-coding RNA is filed under the name uncultured Entoloma. RNAcentral describes it as "sequence contains ITS1". The record is from RNAcentral. Lineage: Eukaryota; Fungi; Basidiomycota; Agaricomycetes; Agaricales; Entolomataceae.